RNAcentral lists this long non-coding RNA (237 nucleotides) under Zonotrichia albicollis (white-throated sparrow). RNAcentral describes it as "lncRNA (ENSZALG00000010898.1)". Lineage: Eukaryota; Metazoa; Chordata; Aves; Passeriformes; Passerellidae. The record is from RNAcentral.
AUCACAGCCAAGCAAAGUGCUGCAUUGAUGGAGAGGGCCCCAGCCAAUGCUCUCUUUGGAGCAGGAAAUGGGGGAACCAAGACCAGCCAUUCUGAAAUUGCCUCUUCAAGAUUCAAAAACUGUGUCAUCAUUAAGAUUCAGAGCUAACAGUCAGAGGAAAGCCAAAGGACAGGUAUAGAAGGUGUGUCAGUUGUUGUGUGUGCAGAAACAAACUUCACAUUGCUAUAAUCCUCUGUG